AUACUUACCUGGCAGGGGAGAUAUCAUGAUCAUGAAGGUGGUUUUCACAUUGCACUCUGGGUGUGCUGACCCCUGUGAGUUUCUCAAAUAUGGGAAACAAUUGCAUAUUUUGUGGUAGUGAGGGACUGUGUUCAUGCUUUCCCCUG
RNAcentral lists this small nuclear RNA (146 nucleotides) under Carlito syrichta (Philippine tarsier). RNAcentral's name for it is "U1 spliceosomal RNA (ENSTSYG00000023317.2)". It matches the Rfam family "U1 spliceosomal RNA". Rfam says of the family: U1 is a small nuclear RNA (snRNA) component of the spliceosome (involved in pre-mRNA splicing). Its 5' end forms complementary base pairs with the 5' splice junction, thus defining the 5' donor site of an intron. There are significant differences in sequence and secondary structure between metazoan and yeast U1 snRNAs, the latter being much longer (568 nucleotides as compared to 164 nucleotides in human). The record is from Rfam by way of RNAcentral. Lineage: Eukaryota; Metazoa; Chordata; Mammalia; Primates; Tarsiidae.